CACUUAUGAGUGAGAUCAGAUGCUAUUUGUCUUUCUGUGACUGACCUAUUUCACUUAGCAUAAUACAGUCUAGAUCCAACCAUGUUGUUGCAAGUCGCAAGUUUUUUUUUUUAUGGCUGAGUCACCUUCCACCGUAUGUAUACGCCCGUGUGAAUGUUUUUAAAAAUAAAAACAAUCACAGCCUAAAGAGAAGGUCGUACCCUGCAGUGAGAUGUUUUCUGCAGGCUCUAUUAACAAAGAAGAACUCAGUUUCCAAAAUGCUAAUGAAGACAAGGGCAUAGUGCCCAGAUUCGCCCCCUCCCAGCAUCACUGGGAAGCUGACUGCAGUUGAAUUUUUUGCUUUAGCCUCCCUAGAAGCGAGAAUCAGGAGUUCACUCAUUGGUUCGACCAGAGUUGACUCAGUGACUGCCGUGCACCGGCCACCCUGGCUCUUGAGGAUGGAAUGGAGGUGAAGUCUGAGCAAAGGCCUGAGGAAGAGUGCACGGAUCUGUGGAAAGAACUUUCCAAGCAGAGGCAACAUCCAAUGCAAAGGAUAGGGGCAGCAAGGCCCGUAUGAAUGAGCGAGGGAAAGAACACUGCGCAAGGCCUGAGAGAUGACCCAGAGCAUCCUGAAAUCAUCACAUGAGAUGUCAGAGGCAGAGCCACCAGCGCAAAGGGACAAACUGGUGGUCUCGGUACACCUCCCUUCCUUCCACUUCCGCUCUUCCUGAACCAGAAACAUCACGCCGGACUAUUCACUAGGCUCCGACAGAAGAUUCUGGUUAGAGACAAGGCAGUGUCACGGAAGGCCAGGUCACGAGGUGGAAAGGACACUAGUACUCAGGAGAUCCAGGUCUGAGUUCUACUUCCGUUACUUACUGGUAGGGUUGGAACCAAGUCGCUUCAUUGAAACUCGGUUUCCUCAUCGGCGAGAGGGGGCUAGUGAAGCCUGCCACGGCUAUAUAAAAGUGUGGUGCAACUCAUGUGAGGUAAUAAGUGUGAAAGCAUUUUGUAACAGCAAAGUGUUUCUAUCAUUGCAGAAAGCCCAGUUAGACAAUGCUGCACAGACCACAGCAUGGACAUUACCUGGGAGCUUGUUAGAAAUACAGAGUAUCAGGAUGCAUGCUUAGACCUUUUGAGUAAGAGCCAACGUUUUAACAAGUUCUCUGGGUGACCAGUGUGUGUCAGCGUUUGGACAACAGUGCUUUACAUAUAAAGGGCCGUCAGUAUUACAACAACGAUAAAAACGACUCUACGGGUCCAGGACCAUGAUGGCUCCAUCCUGACUCGUCACCAGAACUGGGCCCAAUGACGACUAGCAGACGCAUUCAGAUCUUUUCCGCCAACCACCCCACCCAAGCAAAAAUCCCGGACAACACACCCGUGCGGUUGGGUCUCGGAUUCUCAGCUGGAAACAGGAUCUUUGCUCCCCCCUUCUGUUCGUCUGCUCUCCCU
This is a long non-coding RNA of Prionailurus viverrinus (fishing cat), 1434 nucleotides long. RefSeq lists it as uncharacterized. Lineage: Eukaryota; Metazoa; Chordata; Mammalia; Carnivora; Felidae. The record is from RefSeq and is a predicted model, not a curated record. The transcript has 3 exons.